CGUGAGCAUGAUGAAGAUAUCACAGUGAGUCUUUUUUCUAACAGCUCUCCUGCAGCUCUCCUGUACCCCGACCUCUUGUCGCUACGGAAACAGUGCGCUGCCCUCACAAUGCUCACUCGCUCUGGGGAGAGACGCAGAGGAGAGGAGACGAAGGAGGAGGGAAGCUCCGAGCUGGACAGAGGGAUGAAGAGGGACUGGCAUGCAAGAGAUCCCAGGACAGUCAGCAGCAGCCCCUCCAUCUGAAGCAUCAGGUAUGGCAAGGUCACCUUCUACUCUCUGCUGCCCCUGGAGGCAUACUACAGUACUGCAGCUUACAUGCUCUCCAAACUGCUAGAGCUGGUGUCUGCUAAGGAGCAGGCUGUACAUCAGGUUGAAUCCUACAGCCCCAUUACCAUCAUCCCUGGACCAUUCAGCACCGUGCACGCCUGAGGAACACAGAGGAUGUCCACACACACACACACACACACACACACACACACAGGGGAUGUGUGCGGCCGUACUUUUAAAACUAAUAAUGUUCAUUCAUGUCCCAAAUUUCAUUCCUGUGAGGUCAUCACCUCAAACGGUUUUGUAGCACCACACGAGGAC
Molecule: long non-coding RNA, 588 nt
Organism: Oncorhynchus tshawytscha (Chinook salmon)
Lineage: Eukaryota; Metazoa; Chordata; Actinopteri; Salmoniformes; Salmonidae
Source: Ensembl